RNAcentral lists this ribosomal RNA (433 nucleotides) under Escherichia coli. RNAcentral describes it as "partial 23S ribosomal RNA". It matches the Rfam family "Bacterial large subunit ribosomal RNA", at positions 1292 to 1727 of the family's 2925-position model. Lineage: Bacteria; Pseudomonadati; Pseudomonadota; Gammaproteobacteria; Enterobacterales; Enterobacteriaceae. The record is from RNAcentral.
GAAUGCUGACAUAAGUAACGAUAAAGCGGGUGAAAAGCCCGCUCGCCGGAAGACCAAGGGUUCCUGUCCAACGUUAAUCGGGGCAGGGUGAGUCGACCCCUAAGGCGAGGCCGAAAGGCGUAGUCGAUGGGAAACAGGUUAAUAUUCCUGUACUUGGUGUUACUGCGAAGGGGGGACGGAGAAGGCUAUGUUGGCCGGGCGACGGUUGUCCCGGUUUAAGCGUGUAGGCUGGUUUUCCAGGCAAAUCCGGAAAAUCAAGGCUGAGGCGUGAUGACGAGGCACUACGGUGCUGAAGCAACAAAUGCCCUGCUUCCAGGAAAAGCCUCUAAGCAUCAGGUAACAUCAAAUCGUACCCCAAACCGACACAGGUGGUCAGGUAGAGAAUACCAAGGCGCUUGAGAGAACUCGGGUGAAGGAACUAGGCAAAAUGGUG